CUGCUAUGGAAUGGGUAGCAGUGUAGGUCAGUCCAGCAGGAAACAAAAUAAAGCGUGGAACUCUUCUGCCUUUUCCCAGCACAGCAGCCUGUAGGCCUCGGCAAGUCUCAACAGGCUCCCAAGUUAGGUAUCAGUGGGUUAAUCACAGCUACCCCACUUCAGUUUGCGUGGAAUCGCCCAUAUUUUAAAAAUAUCCCUCAAAAAUCAGUAAGCAAAACGGGAGCUCGCCCAGUACACCUCUGAUCAGCACGUGUCUCAGGCUCUGCUCACCCUAGUUAUUUUAACACUGUUAGAUCAGGAAUACACGUUUGUGUUUCUGACCCUAUAGUAUUCCUUUAAUA
Long non-coding RNA from Pelobates fuscus (common spadefoot toad), 341 nucleotides. RefSeq lists it as uncharacterized. The transcript is spliced from 3 exons. Lineage: Eukaryota; Metazoa; Chordata; Amphibia; Anura; Pelobatidae. The record is from RefSeq and is a predicted model, not a curated record.